GACGAACGCUGGCGGCGCGCUUAACACAUGCAAGUCGAGCGAAGCGGCGGACGGGUGAGUAACACGUGAGUAACCUGCCUUAGACAUUGGGAUAGCCUCGGGAAACCGGGAUUAAUACCAAAUGGUCUAAGAGGAACUCGCGUCCCAUUAGCUAUUUGGUGAGGUAACGGCCCACCAAGGCGACGAUGGGUAGCCGGCCUGGGAGGGGGACCGGCCACAUUGGAGCUGAGAAACGGUCCAAACUCUACGGGAGGGAGCAGUGUGGAAUGUUGAACAAUGGAGGGAUCUCUGAUGCAGCGACGCCGCGUGAACGAAGAAGGCUGUCGAGUCGUAAAGUUCUUUUAUAUGGGAAGCGGUACCAUAAGAGAAAGCCCCGGCUAACUACGUGCCAGCAGCCGCGGUAAUAC
This 407-nucleotide ribosomal RNA is filed under the name uncultured bacterium. RNAcentral describes it as "partial 16S ribosomal RNA". It matches the Rfam family "Bacterial small subunit ribosomal RNA", at positions 28 to 526 of the family's 1533-position model. The record is from RNAcentral.